This 492-nucleotide ribosomal RNA is filed under the name uncultured bacterium. RNAcentral's name for it is "partial 16S ribosomal RNA". It matches the Rfam family "Bacterial small subunit ribosomal RNA", at positions 29 to 507 of the family's 1533-position model. The record is from RNAcentral.
AGUGAACGCUGGCGGUAGGCCUAACACAUGCAAGUCGAACGGCAGCACAGUAAUAGCUUGCUCUUACGGGUGGCGAGUGGCGGACGGGUGAGGAAUACAUCGGAAUCUACUUGUGCGUGGGGGAUAACGUAGGGAAACUUACGCUAAUACCGCAUACGACCUACGGGUGAAAGCAGGGGAUCUUCGGACCUUGCGCGAUUGAAUGAGCCGAUGUCGGAUUAGCUAGUUGGCGGGGUAAAGGCCCACCAAGGCGACGAUCCGUAGCUGGUCUGAGAGGAUGAUCAGCCACACUGGAACUGAGACACGGUCCAGACUCCUACGGGAGGCAGCAGUGGGGAAUAUUGGACAAUGGGCGAAAGCCUGAUCCAGCAAUACCGCGUGGGUGAUGAAGGCCUUCGGGUUGUAAAGCCCUUUUGUCGGGAAAGAAAAGCAGUAGGUUAAUACCCCGCUGUUCUGACGGUACCCAAAGAAUAAGCACCGGCUAACUUCGUG